CGGGGGGCAGCAGUAGGGAAUCUUCCGCAAUGGGCGAAAGCCUGACGGAGCGACGCCACGUGGAUGAUGAAGGCCUUCGGGUCGUAAAAUCCUGUCAGGGGGGACGAUGGUCGAUCUUCGGAUUGAUUGACGGUACCCUCAGAGGAAGCUCCGGCUAACUACGUGCCAGCAGCCGCGGUAAUACGUAGGGAGCAAGCGUUGUUCGGAUUUACUGGGCGUAAAGAGUGCGUAGGCGGUUAUAUAAGUCAAAGGUGAAAUCUUCACUUUCAAGGUGGAAACUGCCUCUGAUACUGUAUAACUAGAGGGCAAGAGGGGGAAAUGGAACUCUGGGAGUAGCGGUGAAAUGCGUAGAUAUCCAGAGGAACGCCGGUAGCGAAGGCGAUUUCCUGGCUUGCAUCUGACGCUGAGGCACUAAAGCUAGGGUAGCGAUCGGGAUUAGAUACCCCAGUAGUCCAGUCCGCCUACGGGAGGCA
RNAcentral lists this ribosomal RNA (473 nucleotides) under uncultured bacterium. RNAcentral describes it as "bacterial SSU rRNA". It matches the Rfam family "Bacterial small subunit ribosomal RNA", at positions 342 to 815 of the family's 1533-position model. The record is from RNAcentral.